RNAcentral lists this long non-coding RNA (496 nucleotides) under Bos taurus (domestic cattle). RNAcentral's name for it is "long non-coding RNA NONBTAT025642". Lineage: Eukaryota; Metazoa; Chordata; Mammalia; Artiodactyla; Bovidae. The record is from RNAcentral.
UAAGUUCAAAAAGGCAAUAAGCUCUCUUUAUAAGCUACUCAUGAAUAUUACUGCACAGGAACAUUUGUUCAUUUUCCAUUAAUAAAAAUGAUAAACAUGAGUGCUUUAAAUUCAAUUCCAAAAUAAAAAUUUUCUAGGAGCAUAGUGUGGGAGACGGUCACCAUUGGGUUCUGUUUUCAUUACAGUCAAGGGUAUAUGCCUGGUUCCCUUUCUUGUGGUAUUUUACUUUCCUUUGUAGAUCUCUGUGAAAUGCUGUUUUAAAAGAUUUAUGAUUAUAGUUUAUGGUUUUACUAAAUGAAAAUGCAAUUGUAAGUAAAUCAUUUUUUUCUCUUCCCUUUGACCUAGUAUGAAAGCAAGGUAAAAUUUAAAUUUAUGCAUGCCUUCUUCGAGUGCAUGGGUUGGGUCAAUGUGGCUUCUUAGAUAAAGCGGUGAUGCAGAAGCAGAGUGACACCUAUCCAGCUUUAUUCAUAGUACAUUUCACCAGCAAGUAAUGCAU